GAGUGGAUUAGCGGCGGACGGGUGAGUAACACGUGGGUAACCUGCCUCAAAGAGGGGGAUAGCCUCCCGAAAGGGAGAUUAAUACCGCAUAACAUUAUUUUAUGGCAUCAUAAAAUAAUCAAAGGAGUAAUCCGCUUUGAGAUGGACCCGCGGCGCAUUAGCUAGUUGGUGAGGUAAGGGCUCACCAAGGCGACGAUGCGUAGCCGACCUGAGAGGGUGAUCGGCCACAUUGGAACUGAG
RNAcentral lists this ribosomal RNA (240 nucleotides) under Clostridium botulinum. RNAcentral's name for it is "partial 16S ribosomal RNA". It matches the Rfam family "Bacterial small subunit ribosomal RNA", at positions 85 to 323 of the family's 1533-position model. The record is from RNAcentral. Lineage: Bacteria; Bacillati; Bacillota; Clostridia; Eubacteriales; Clostridiaceae.